CCUACGGGCGGCUGCAGUGGGGAAUAUUGGACAAUGGUGGCAACCCUGAUCCAGCCAUGCCGCGUGUGUGAAGAAGGCCCUCGGGUUGUAAAGCACUUUCAGUGAGGAAGAACGCCUGGUGGUUAAUACCCAUCAGGAAAGACAUCACUCACAGAAGAAGCACCGGCUAACUCCGUGCCAGCAGCCGCGGUAAUACGGAGGGUGCGAGCGUUAAUCGGAAUUACUGGGCGUAAAGCGCGCGUAGGUGGCUUGAUAAGCCGGUUGUGAAAGCCCCGGGCUCAACCUGGGAACGGCAUCCGGAACUGUCAAGCUAGAGUGCAGGAGAGGAAGGUGGAAUUCCCGGUGUAGCGGUGAAAUGCGUAGAGAUCGGGAGGAAUACCAGUGGCGAAGGCGGCCUUCUGGACUGACACUGACACUGAGGUGCGAAAGCGUGGGUAGCAAACAGGAUUAGAUACCCUUGUAGUC
This 465-nucleotide ribosomal RNA is filed under the name Vreelandella stevensii. Its description in RNAcentral is "partial 16S ribosomal RNA". It matches the Rfam family "Bacterial small subunit ribosomal RNA", at positions 338 to 795 of the family's 1533-position model. The record is from RNAcentral. Lineage: Bacteria; Pseudomonadati; Pseudomonadota; Gammaproteobacteria; Oceanospirillales; Halomonadaceae.